RNAcentral lists this ribosomal RNA (449 nucleotides) under uncultured bacterium. Its description in RNAcentral is "partial 16S ribosomal RNA". It matches the Rfam family "Bacterial small subunit ribosomal RNA", at positions 29 to 523 of the family's 1533-position model. The record is from RNAcentral.
AACGAACGCUGGCGGCAGGCCUAACACAUGCAAGUCGAACGAAGUCUUCGGACUUAGUGGCGCACGGGUGAGUAACACGUGGGAAUAUACCUUUCGGUGGGGAAUAACAUCGGGAAACUGAUGCUAAUACCGCAUACGCCCUUCGGGGGAAAGAUUUAUCGCCGAAAGAUUAGCCCGCGUCCGAUUAGGUAGUUGGUGAGGUAACGGCUCACCAAGCCUGCGAUCGGUAGCUGGUCUGAGAGGAUGAUCAGCCACACUGGGACUGAGACACGGCCCAGACUCCUACGGGAGGCAGCAGUGGGGAAUAUUGGACAAUGGGCGCAAGCCUGAUCCAGCCAUGCCGCGUGAGUGAUGAAGGCCUUAGGGUUGUAAAGCUCUUUCGACGGGGACGAUGAUGACGGUACCCGUAGAAGAAGCCCCGGCUAACUUCGUGCCAGCCGCCGCCGUAA